RNAcentral lists this long non-coding RNA (277 nucleotides) under Gossypium barbadense (sea-island cotton). RNAcentral's name for it is "long non-coding RNA (GBAR_LNC002157)". The record is from RNAcentral. Lineage: Eukaryota; Viridiplantae; Streptophyta; Magnoliopsida; Malvales; Malvaceae.
UUUCCUUAAUUUUCUCUUCUAAACACUCCCCUUGGAGUCCAUCUUCACACCACUUUCAACCUUCUAGAAGGCCAACAUUAAACUUCUAAAAACACUAAGCUAGGAUUUGAACCUUAGAUCUCCUUGCUAGCUACUAACGCCACCUCUCUACACUCUAAGUGGAGUCACUUAGCCACUCUUACACAAGGCUUUUUGAUGCCAUUUUCCCUUAUCUUUAUGUAAAAGCCCAACUACUUGCCAACAAGGUCCUUUUAAUUAUUAAACUAUAAUUUCUUCU